This is a long non-coding RNA of Cyprinus carpio (common carp), 240 nucleotides long. RefSeq lists it as uncharacterized. NCBI's taxonomy places the organism in Eukaryota, Metazoa, Chordata, Actinopteri, Cypriniformes, Cyprinidae. The record is from RefSeq and is a predicted model, not a curated record. The transcript is spliced from 3 exons.
GGGGAAAAGAAUAUCACGCUGGGAGACCCUCCUGGGUUCCUGCAUUCCUGGUGGUGUGUCUUUUGGGACCUCUACUGUGCAGCUCCUGAGAGGAGAGACACAUGCGAACAUUUCAAGCGAGGCCAAGGGCUUUCCAUGACUAUAGUGCCGCAGCAGCCCCCAGUCCUGUUCUUGGGAACAUGCCACCAGGAGAUGGCAUGCCAGGUGGACCCAUGCCCCCUGGAUUCUUCCAGGUUAGAU